This 468-nucleotide ribosomal RNA is filed under the name uncultured bacterium. RNAcentral's name for it is "partial 16S ribosomal RNA". It matches the Rfam family "Bacterial small subunit ribosomal RNA", at positions 28 to 507 of the family's 1533-position model. The record is from RNAcentral.
GACGAACGCUGGCGGCGUGCUUAACACAUGCAAGUCGAACGGAAAGGCCCUGCUUUUGUGGGGUGCUCGAGUGGCGAACGGGUGAGUAACACGUGAGUAACCUGCCCUUGACUUUGGGAUAACUUCAGGAAACUGGGGCUAAUACCGGAUAGGAUCUCCUGCUGCAUGGUGGGGGUUGGAAAGUUUCGGCGGUUGGGGAUGGACUCGCGGCUUAUCAGCUUGUUGGUGGGGUAGUGGCUUACCAAGGCUUUGACGGGUAGCCGGCCUGAGAGGGUGACCGGCCACAUUGGGACUGAGAUACGGACCAGUAUCCUACGGGAGGCAGCAGUGGGGAAUAUUGCAGAAUGGGCGGAAGCCAGAUGCAGCAACGCCGCGUGCGGGAUGCCGGCCUUCGGGUUGUAAACCGCUUUCGCAUGUGCCGAAGCGUGAGUGACGGUAAUGGGUAAAGAAGCCCCGGCUAACUACGUG